This 253-nucleotide ribosomal RNA is filed under the name uncultured prokaryote. Its description in RNAcentral is "partial 16S ribosomal RNA". It matches the Rfam family "Bacterial small subunit ribosomal RNA", at positions 524 to 776 of the family's 1533-position model. The record is from RNAcentral.
GGCAGAGGGUGCAAACGUUGUUCGGAAUUACUGGGCGUAAAGCGCGUGUAGGCGGCUAUGCAAGUCGGAUGUGAAAGCCCUCGGCUCAACCGGGGAAGUGCACCCGAAACUGCAAAGCUAGAGUCUCGGAGAGGAUCGUGGAAUUCUCGGAGUAGAGGUGAAAUUCGUAGAUAUCGAGAGGAACACCGGUGGCGAAGGCGGCUACCUGGACAGAAACUGACGCUGAGGCGCGAAAGCUAGGGGAGCAAACAGG